RNAcentral lists this ribosomal RNA (406 nucleotides) under uncultured bacterium. RNAcentral describes it as "partial 16S ribosomal RNA". It matches the Rfam family "Bacterial small subunit ribosomal RNA", at positions 30 to 526 of the family's 1533-position model. The record is from RNAcentral.
AUUGAACGCUGGCGGCAGGCCUAACACAUGCAAGUCGAGCGAGCGGCGGACGGGUGAGUAAUGUAUGGGGAUCUGCCUGAUGGAGGGGGAUAACUACUGGAAAAGGUAGCUAAUACCGCAUACACUCAGAUGUACACAUAGGUGAUUAGCUUGUAGGUAAGGUAACGGCUUACCUAGGCGACGAUCCCUAGCUGGUCUGAGAGGAUGAACAGCCACACUGGGACUGAGACACGGUCCAGACUCCUACGGGAGGCAGCAGUGGGGAAUAUUGCACAAUGGGCGCAAGCCUGAUGCAGCCAUGCCGCGUGUAUGAAGAAGGCCUUCGGGUUGUAAAGUACUUUCAGUCGGGAGGCGUUACCGACAGAAGAAGCACCGGCUAACUCCGUGCCAGCAGCCGCGGUAAUUC